CAAAACUUGACAAGCGAGUGGGAGGAGAACCGAAGGGGAAAAGGAGAAAGAAAGAACACACCACCAACAAUUAAAAAUCGCCUUUGUAUUUUUUGGAACGUCUCGGUGGAAAUAGUGAGCUCGGGAAAUCACGGAUAUUUUUGCAUUUUGAGGCUUUCGAGAUUGUAGAUUGGAAUUUGCAUAUGAAAGUGGGUGAAUUUGAGGUGAUUCAAGGCAAUUUGUGAUAUUAUUUGGUGAUUUUGAGCUGUGGCUGUGUAGGAUCAUUGGGAACAUAUUGGAACUUGAAGGGGGAAGGAAAAGGAGACCAAUUCCCGCCAAAAAAAAAGUACAAUCUGAUUCGGCGGAUUUUCCGGAGAAGAAGCUAGCAAGGCAGCUCGAUUUUACGGCCGCUUUUGGCGGGAUUUCUGCCGUUGCUGUAGUUUUCCCAGAAAACCUGCAAUCCAAACAAGGGAUGGAUGUCGCUUCGUGGUCGCCUGCAGCAGCUUCAGUUAAUCAGCAACAGCAGCCACAGAUAAAGCAACAGGUAGCGGCGACUAUUUCUGUGGCUGCCGGGCAAUCUCAUCCUCUAACUACAGCAUCUUCGAGUAUUGUAAAACCAGAAUCCCUAAAAGCUAAAACAAGACCAAAUGAACUAAAUGAUGAGGCUCCAAAGAAGCAGAAGCACUCUAACUGUAAACAUUCUCGGUGUCUAAAACUGUACUGUGAAUGCUUUUCAUCUGGCAUGUAUUGUGAUGAGUGCAAUUGUGUUAAUUGUUAUAACAAUGUUGAGUAUGAAGCUGUGAGACGAGAUUCUGUUGGAGCAACUUUGAAGAGCAAUCUAAAUGCUUUCAGGCCAAAAAUUAAUAGCAGUUCACAUGGUGCAAAAGAUAACAAGGAGGCUGGGGAAGUUUUGAUGCUGGGAAAGCACAGCAAAGGAUGCCAUUGUAAAAGAUCUGGGUGUCUUAGAAAGUACUGUGAGUGUUUCCAAGCCAACAUUCUUUGCUACGAAAGCUGCAAAUGCAUGGGCUGCAAAAAAUUUAAGGGGAGCGAAGAGAGACAGGCUCUAUUUCAUGGUGACUAUGCCAACAAUAUGGCAUACAUCCAGCAGGCAGCAAAUGCUACCACAACUGGAGCAAUUGGGUCAUCUGGUUAUGCAUCUGCCCCAGUGUCUAAGAAGAGAAAAAGUCAGGAAUUCCUUUUGGGGUCAACUGCCAAGGAUCCAUCUGUUCACAGUCUUGGACAUUUGCAACAGACAAAUCUUGUCAGAGCUUCUAUUCCCUCCUCUUCCUUGUCUUCUAUGUCAGUUUCUUGUGCUGGUACUGCAGUAGGCCCAUCAAAAUUAUCAUAUAGGUCUCUGUUAGCGGACAUUAUUCAAAAGCAGGACUUGAAGGAGCUUUGCUCUGUUUUGGUAGUUCUAUCCAGAGAAGCUGCAAAGAUACUUGCAGACCAGAGAAGUUUGAUUGAAGGGGCAGAAGAUCACUCAGAAAUUUCCUUUGCAUCAUCUACUCAAGACAGGCUGGAAAGCCAGAAGGAUUUUAUUGCUGAAAAAACCAGGGCUGACAAUUGUUCGAGUGCGAACCAGGCUGUUAAAUCUGGCCCUGAGAAUUCUUGCACAGAUGUUGCUGAUAUGCCAGAGGGAAGCCUUAUGUCUCCAGGAACUUUGGCAUUGAUGUGUGAUGAACAAGACACAACGUUCACAGCAGCUGUUUCACAAUUGCCUUGUGGAAAGGGCAUGAUAGAGAUUGAUGCAGAGCAUGAAAGAGUUGUUUUGACAAAGUUCCGAGAUUGUCUUAAUAGGCUUAUCACUUUUGGAGAAAUAAAGGGAAUGUGUUGUUCAACAUUAGCUAGAAUGGAGAUAGGUAGUCAAAGAUGCCCACUCAGCCAUAGAGCUGAGACUGGGAAUCAACAAGGAUUCGUUAACUAUGGAGUUCCGAAAACUUUCUUUUCACCUACAGUGAGAACAUCUAAGACGGCUGCUGUGGUAGCAACUGCUGAUAAUGAUCUCCCUACAGUUCCACCCUUUCCUGGAAAUGGGGAUGCUAAAUCUAAACCAGCCAAACAGAUGUAAAGACCCCACAGUUGGCCUGAGGUGGGAUGUAUGCUGGCAGGCACACCAUGAAUUCUGUUAAUGAAAAUAUAAUAAGAGGAGCUAGUUUUGUCAGUAAGUAACCGGCCUUUUUCCAGAAAAAGGUAAGAAACACAAGAUCACGGGGCUGCAAUGCAAUUUUGUCAUCUUCCUUUCGUACGUCCCCUUCGUGCCAUUGAGAUAUCGCCUUAAAGAGAAUCUCUCUUUAAUGACUAUAUGUUUCUUUUGGGACUAUUUCAAUCAACACACCCCAAACCUCUGUAUCUAUUUUCUCUCACUUUCAAACUUCUAAUCAGGAGAAAUUCAAAAUUGUUGAAUAUCGACAAGAGGAUUUUUAAAAGAACAAAAUGGUUCCUUUCCUUCAUUAUCUUCACUAGCUUUUAAAUUUAGCUCAGCUAUCCUAUCCUUACUGGUGACCAUCAUCAUCAGUUAGCUCUACUUUUGGAACACAAGAAACUAAGAGAAGAAUGCAUAUUACUGAAAUGUUUUCUUCUCCGAAGAAAGAAGAUGAUGAUUCAGGCCAAGGCUUUCGUUUUGACAAGUCUCUC
Molecule: RNA transcript, 2613 nt
Organism: Gossypium raimondii (Peruvian cotton)
Lineage: Eukaryota; Viridiplantae; Streptophyta; Magnoliopsida; Malvales; Malvaceae
Gene name: protein tesmin/TSO1-like CXC 5
Exons: 10
Source: RefSeq, a predicted model, not a curated record